Molecule: small nucleolar RNA, 80 nt
Organism: Cydia amplana
Lineage: Eukaryota; Metazoa; Arthropoda; Insecta; Lepidoptera; Tortricidae
Product: small nucleolar RNA psi18S-841/snoR66
Exons: 1
Source: RefSeq, a predicted model, not a curated record
UGCAAGGGCACUCUGUGUUAUUCAUUCUGUAUGAUAAUUACAAUUUGUUACCUUGCUAGAUUAGAACUACCAAACCCUAU